CAGAUUUUCAAUAAAAUUGCCUACCUUAGUGUAUUUGAAGAAUAGAACCCUUUACGUAGGUUAGCAGGUUUGGCCCUCUAACCAUUUUUUAGUAACUAUUUGCAUAAUUAGGUGCUGUGAUCAGUCUUUAAAAACAACUGGGAGGUUCAAGACUGUGUAUAUGUGUGUGAGUGUGUAUACGGAAGAGGGUGGUACUUAAAGUAAAAAAAAAUGACUAUGUUAUGAUUUUGUAUAGUUGAAUGUGCUUUCUGUAGCCUUCUUUAUACUAUUCAUCUGUUUAGCUUCUCUUGUGAUAGUGAAAUAAAAUUACACCAAAGUAACUCAUUUCAUAUUUAGAAUCUGAAUCAAGAUUUUUGUAAGCCUCUAAAAGAGGGCAAAAUAGAAUUUACUACUUUCUAUGCGUUCUGUAGCCUAGCUUGUUGGUCUUAAUAGUGUUGUUUAAGCAUGAUAUAUAAUUAUGCAAAUGAUAUUUAUUUCCCUUUCUUUUUGAACUUUGUUAGAGUUUCAUGGAAACUUUAAAAUUCUAAUCAAAAUAACUCAGUUGCUACUAGUUAUAGAAAUAGUUAAUAUUAAAUAACAGGAAGGGAACUUACUGAUUUAUGUCUUGGGUAGAAGGAUUCAGUACUGGCCCAUGGCUAUUUUUUUUAGCUAGGUCAUACUUUCCAUUUCCCUCCGCAAAAAUCAUGAUCAGAUUUACUACUCCAGAGCCCAUAGUUGAGGAUAAAAAACUUUCUUCUUACCAGAAAUCAUUUAAAAUCACUCUAUAAUAUUAGAGUGAAAUCUAAAGCUUAAUGUUCUAGUUAAGCUAAGGAAAUGCUUUAAUCCAUUAAAGAAAUUGAGUGUUUGCAAAAUGGUUGACUAUUGAAUAACAUGGGUUUGACCUGCACAGGUCCACUUAAACGUGAUUUCUUGCAAUAAAUAACUGCACUGUUUUCCAUUCACGGUAGAAAGUUCACAGAUGCAGAGGGCUGACUGAAUAGAUGCAUAGAUCGAUGCUAUUUUAUAUAGGGGACUUGAGCAUCCAUGGAUUUUGGUAUCCAUGAUGGGGUCCUGGAACUAACCACCUGUGGGUACUGAGGGACGAUUUAAGAUUUUGGAGAGUCAAAUGUUAUACUUAGAUUAGGGGUUGGUACCCCUAAUCCCCAUGUUCCAAGGGUCAACAGUAGUUGCUUUUAUUUUUAUUCUAAAAUUGGUAUGUUUGUUUUUCUUUAAAGUAGUACAGUUGCUACUAUGACUCUUGAGUGAAGUCUAUUCCCACGCCUACCGCCCCCCAAAAGAGGCAAGGGAAGGUUGAGGUUUGUGGUGGUGGGAUAAUAUGAAAAGUUUGUUACUUUUUCCCCCUUCAACAUAUGGCCAAAUAUAGAUUUAUCUUUGCAUUAAGCAAACUUAAAAUAAUUAGCAUCACAGAACUCAGGAAUUGUUUGCAAAAUGUGAAAUUUUUGUAUUUUUCACAAAAAGAAAACAAAAUGUUGAUUAUAUUGUAUUUAAUUUUUUUGUAGUCAGGCCAACCAAGAAAAGGUAUAUCUUUGGAUUUCUUAAAAUAAGCUACUCUGAAGUGCAGGCGUUUGUAGGAUAACAGAUUUAAGGGCUAUUUCAGCUAUACCUGAUUGUCUGAAACUAAUGGAAUUAGAAAUUAUUUUGGAGUGAUGAAUAUAAGCACCAUGACUAGAAUUCCCUUUAUGAUGUAUCUUCCCUUUUUCCAGUUUAGAUUGGUUACAAUUCUCUCCCCUUCUUAGGCCUCCUAGGAGAGGGGUGUUUUCCUACCAAUCCAUUGGAUGGGCAUCUGCCCAGCAGUUCCUAGUUUUUGAUUAAUGAGAAUUGCUGUGAUACCUCUAAUGGGAUUUUAUCUGGACAAUAACUUUGAUCAUUUGGAUAAUUAACCUAUUUCUCUGAAUAUUCAGUUAUGACAAAAUUAAAAAAUAGCAGUGUUUUAGAAGUGAGUUUGAUAGUGUGGGGGACUGUUGGGCAGGGAGAGUGUGCUUUGUUUUUGUUUUUUUUUUUUACCCCAUUCCAUGACCCCAUCUGUACUCAUAAAACAAAAAAUAAUUUUAGAUCUAUACACCUAUUUUAACCCUGGGAAAAGGAUAAUGUUAUAUCUCAACUGUAACCCAUGUCCAGAUAUAUCCUAUCUUAGUGAACUCCAGUUUUUUUGUUUAACAAUAAUUGAUUGGUGAUAAUUAUAGUAAGCAAUUACACAGAAUUCAGUUAAUACAGUGUAAGAUCACUGCUUUGUUUUUUUUAAAUGGUAGUUCUACAAGCACAUGGAGAGUACUUAUUUCCAGUGUUAGUUAUGGUUCAUUUCUGUUUCUAAGUAGUUUUUGUUCACAUUAAUAUCUCCUAGUAGAGUAUUUCCUUUCAAGGUCCUAUUCUUAGGUUCUUGUGGUAUAAUAGUCAUUUACUGUUUUACUCAUCAAGACUUCAAAUAGCCCCUCUGUGAAGAUUUCUAGUAUGUUUCCAUGUGGAGCUUUUGCCUUCUUUUUGUAUGUCACUAUAGUUUGGUCAUUUACAUAUUUCCCUUACUGUAAAAUAUCAAAAUGAGCACAUUGUAGAUUAUCACAUUUGAAUGGGUUGGAGCAAAUAAGGAUUGUGUAUUAUUAAGGGUAUGGGUAGGCAUUUCAGCCAUAUG
Phyllostomus discolor (pale spear-nosed bat) is the source of this 2626-nucleotide long non-coding RNA. RefSeq lists it as uncharacterized. Lineage: Eukaryota; Metazoa; Chordata; Mammalia; Chiroptera; Phyllostomidae. The record is from RefSeq and is a predicted model, not a curated record. The transcript has 2 exons.